Molecule: non-coding RNA, 45 nt
Organism: Clonorchis sinensis
Lineage: Eukaryota; Metazoa; Platyhelminthes; Trematoda; Opisthorchiida; Opisthorchiidae
Source: Rfam
GCACUGCUGACGAGCUCUAAAAAGAGCGAAACUCAAGUCCAGUGC